This 394-nucleotide ribosomal RNA is filed under the name uncultured bacterium. Its description in RNAcentral is "bacterial SSU rRNA". It matches the Rfam family "Bacterial small subunit ribosomal RNA", at positions 365 to 775 of the family's 1533-position model. The record is from RNAcentral.
UGGUUAAUGGGCGAAAGCCUGAACCGGCAACGCCGCGUGCACGAUGACGGCCUUCGGGUUGUAAAGUGCUUUUUGGAGGGAAGAGGAAGGACGGUACCUCCAGAAUAAGUCUCGGCUAACUACGUGCCAGCAGCCGCGGUAACACGUAGGAGACAAGCGUUAUUCGGAUUUACUGGGCGUAAAGCGCGUGCAGGCGGUCUGACAAGUUGGAUGUGAAAGCUCCUGGCUUAACUGGGAGAGGUCGUUCAAAACUAUCAGACUAGAGAGUGGUAGAGGAAGGCGGAAUUCCGGGUGUAGUGGUGAAAUGCGUAGAUAUCCGGAGGAACACCAGUGGCGAAAGCGGCCUUCUGGACCAAUUCUGACGCUCAGACGCGAAAGCUAGGGUAGCGAACGG